This is a microRNA precursor of Oryza sativa Indica Group (long-grained rice), 205 nucleotides long. It matches the Rfam family "MIR812 microRNA precursor family". NCBI's taxonomy places the organism in Eukaryota, Viridiplantae, Streptophyta, Magnoliopsida, Poales, Poaceae. The record is from Rfam.
AAAAAGGCAAACCAUGGGUUCCCAUGCCAACGUUUGACUGUCCGUCUUAUAUGAAAUUUUUUUAUAAUUAGUAUUUUAAUUGUUGUUAGAUGAUAAAACAUGAUUAAUACUUUAUGCGUGACUUAUCUUUUUAAUUUUUUUCAUAAUUUUUUCAAAUAAGACGAACGGUCAAACGUUGGACACGGAAACCAGGGUUUGUCUUUUU